GAACUUAUUCAACAUUUGCAACAAACAUAAAUCUGGAAGAGGCAGCGCCCAUUGACCAGGAACCUGAUUCUUGCAUUAUUUGCCAGGAGGAUUAUAAGAACCAAGAGAAAAUCGGAAGUCUUGAUUGCGGACACGAGUAUCAUGCGGGUUGCUUAAGGAAGUGGCUGCUUGUGAAGAAUGUAUGUCCUAUCUGCAAAUCUGAGGCAUUAGCCACAGCGUCCAAGGAUGUAUAAAACAUGGGGUGAGUUUAUCCAGCAAAGGUAAUAAAUUACAUAAAAUGGUUGAUGGUGGCAGAAUCAAUCAGGGGAAGCUCUCCCAGAUGUCUUAUGAUUAAUCUGUUUACUAUAAACUAAAUUGAUAUUUUGUCGAAUAUUUUGUACAUGGAACUUGCAGAUAUCUAACAGACAGUCAAUCAUUUAUUCUGUUGGCUCUGUAAUUAUCAACAAUUGUACAGACUCUCAUUAUGCAGUCUCAUGCUGUAAUAUUGACUUUCAACUAUAA
This is a non-coding RNA of Durio zibethinus, 501 nucleotides long. NCBI's taxonomy places the organism in Eukaryota, Viridiplantae, Streptophyta, Magnoliopsida, Malvales, Malvaceae. The record is from RefSeq and is a predicted model, not a curated record.